UACAGAGGUCUCAAGCGUUGUUCGGAUUUAUUGGGCGUAAAGGGCGCGUAGGCGGCGGGGUAAGUCGGGUGUGAAAUCUCAGGGCUCAACCCUGAAACUGCACUUGAUACUGCUCUGCUUGAGGGCUGGAGAGGAGACUGGAAUUCACGGUGUAGCAGUGAAAUGCGUAGAUAUCGUAAGGAAGACCAGUGGCGAAGGCGGGUCUCUGGACAGUUCCUGACGCUGAGGCACGAAGGCCAGGGGAGCAAACGGG
This 253-nucleotide ribosomal RNA is filed under the name uncultured bacterium. Its description in RNAcentral is "partial 16S ribosomal RNA". It matches the Rfam family "Bacterial small subunit ribosomal RNA", at positions 524 to 776 of the family's 1533-position model. The record is from RNAcentral.